GCUGGUGGUGUGAUGGGGUUUUGUAUUUCUCCAUUGGGAACACCGGCUAGGUUACUUUGGAGCACCAGUUUCUUCCGCCACAAGCUCAUGAUUUUCUAAUUUUCAGCCUUAUUGCUGAAAAUACCAAAGCCCAUCUAAUUCGUUUCUCGUUUUAAUAAAGAUCUCCCUCGAUUUCGUGUCGCUGUGGCCAAUCAGCCGCCGCCGUAAAUCGCCGGUGAUCCCUUGCUCACGAUUCCUGUUUCAGAUUAAAGAGAAUAAUUAAUGAUGUCGGACGGUUUGAUCUUUAACCGAUCCCAAG
RNAcentral lists this unclassified non-coding RNA (298 nucleotides) under Hevea brasiliensis (rubber tree). The record is from RNAcentral. Lineage: Eukaryota; Viridiplantae; Streptophyta; Magnoliopsida; Malpighiales; Euphorbiaceae.